GACGAACGCUGGCGGCGUGCUUAACACAUGCAAGUCGAGCGGUAAGGCCCUUUCGGGGUACGACGAGCGGCGAACGGGUGAGUAACACGUGGGUGACCUGCCCUCCAGCUCUGGGAGUAAGCCUGGGAAACCGGGUCUAAUACCGGAUAUGACUCCAUGACGCAUGUUGUGGGGUGGAAAGCCUUGUGCGGCUGAGGAUGGGCCCGCGGCCUAUCAGCUUGUUGGUGGGGUGAUGGCCUACCAAGGCGACGACGGGUAGCCGGCCUGAGAGGGCGACCGGCCACACUGGGACUGAGACACGGCCCAGACUCCUACGGGAGGCAGCAGUGGGGAAUCUUGCGCAAUGGGCGAAAGCCUGACGCAGCGACGCCGCGUGAGGGAUGACGGCCUGU
This 392-nucleotide ribosomal RNA is filed under the name uncultured bacterium. RNAcentral's name for it is "bacterial SSU rRNA". It matches the Rfam family "Bacterial small subunit ribosomal RNA", at positions 28 to 419 of the family's 1533-position model. The record is from RNAcentral.